RNAcentral lists this ribosomal RNA (460 nucleotides) under uncultured bacterium. Its description in RNAcentral is "partial 16S ribosomal RNA". It matches the Rfam family "Bacterial small subunit ribosomal RNA", at positions 338 to 795 of the family's 1533-position model. The record is from RNAcentral.
CCUACGGGAGGCAGCAGUGAGGAAUAUUGGUCAAUGGACGAGAGUCUGAACCAGCCAAGCAGCGUGAAGGAUGACUGCCCUAUGGGUUGUAAACUUCUUUUAUAUGGGAAUAAAACGUUCCACGUGUGGGAUUUUGUAUGUAUCAUAUGAUUAAGGAUCGGCUAAAUCCGCGCCAGCAGCCGCGGUAAUCCGGAGGAUCCGAGCGUUAUCCGGAUUUAUUGGGUUUAAAUGGAGCGUAGGUGGGUUGUUAAGUUAGUUGUGACAGUUUGCGGCUCAACCGUAAAAUUGCAGUUGAUACUGGUAGUCUUGAGUGAAGUAGAGGUAGGCGGAAUUCGUGGUGUAGCGGUGAAAUGCGUAGAUAUCACGAAGAACUCCGAUUGCGAAGGCAGUUCACUGGACUGCAACUGACACUGAGGCUCGAAAGUGUGGGUAUCAAACAGGAUUAGAUACCCCUGUAGUC